UAACGGCGGAAUCGUUGCGGGCGACUAGGAAAAAUACAUUUUCCGAUGGCACAGCACCCACGACUUCGCCCUCACUUCACCGCCAUGUUGCAAAAUCGCCGAUCCGCCGUCCCGUCAUGCCACGCACUUCGUCAUAUGACAGCGCCACCGCAAACAGCCAAUCGGAGCGCGCGGCGCAUGCGCGCCGAUGCCUCCGCGGCGCCACAAUCGCCGAAUUGCCGCCAACGGCGAGCCAGCGCAGAGUUUGAAGUUGACUGCGGUUCCAACGUUUCCUUUUGCUGCGCGAAUUAUUUUCUUCUCGUUGUCUCCUCGUGGAAAAAGUCGCGUCUAUUUUUACAGAUUUGUGCAUAGAUUCGUUUUAUCGCGUCUCCAAUUCAUUCUUCGCAACAACUUGUCGAUGAGUUUAAGCAAGGGAAAUGGAAACUAAAAGUGUCAACAGCAACAUGAAACUGCCAGAGAAAUUCCAUUUACAGCUUAUCUUUUUGUACAAAGAAGCGAAGACAAGGGAUGAGCCGACGAGAAACGAGCGACGACACGAAGGGAUUUAACACCCUUACGGAUUCGGUUCAUCAAGCUGUAAGUUUACAAAUCAUUACUACAACUAUAGUAUUUUACGUCUUCUCUUUGUUCAAACUCAAAGUAU
This is a long non-coding RNA of Nylanderia fulva, 643 nucleotides long. RefSeq lists it as uncharacterized. NCBI's taxonomy places the organism in Eukaryota, Metazoa, Arthropoda, Insecta, Hymenoptera, Formicidae. The record is from RefSeq and is a predicted model, not a curated record.